Molecule: non-coding RNA, 45 nt
Organism: Schistosoma mansoni
Lineage: Eukaryota; Metazoa; Platyhelminthes; Trematoda; Strigeidida; Schistosomatidae
Source: Rfam
AUCCAACCAAAGAGUCCCAAAUAGGACGAAACGUGAGUCCUGGAU